GGGAUGAUGAAUUUUUAUCCUGGAGCCCCACCAUGUUUGAUGGGAUCAGGGAGAUCUCUCUACCUCUAAGCGCCAUCUGGGCCCCUGAUAUCAUCAUUAGUGAGUUUGGAAGAUGUAGACCUGGCCUUCCGAGGAGCAGAGAAGACAUUAAGCAUGACAAAAAGGAAUUUUUGAAGGACAGUGAGUGGGAGCUUCUUUCUGUGUCCUCAACAUACAACAUCCUGCAGAGCAACACUGGAGAUUUUGCACAGAUUCAGUUUAACGUAGGUCCUUCCUGUUCCUGUUGCCUACUUCUCUGCAGUCGCAAGCCUUCUCUGCUGGGCUCAAGGAUCUCUGCUCUGUCGUGUAUUCUCAUUCUUUAUCAUCAUCCAAAAACUGAUGAUUCAGGUGGCUCUGGAAGCCCCUUGCAUUACAGCAUUUCACAGACCGGAGAUUCAGUCCCAGAUCCUGGACUCCUACUGUAAGGAUUCCAUAUGUGAGUAAAAAGAGAAGGGUUUCAGGCACCUGAACCACCCACCUUAGCAGGCAUCCUCAAGCCUUUCAGGGCAUACUAACAUCCCCACUCCCAAUUGCUGCUGAGAGGAGGGGGAAACAAAAAAAAAGAAAAGAAAGAAAACCCACAUGCAGCAACAACAACAGAGUGGGAGAAGAGUGUCUCUUUAACGUUACUGUCCUGUUUUUAACUGAGUAAAUUAUUAAUUAAUUCCAGAAACAAAUGCAUAAAGCUAUCAUUAAUUUGACUGUCUUGAGCAAUUAGCUAACAAAUCACCUACAGGAUCCUCAGAGACUCCUGGUGGUUUCUGGAUCAGAGAGAACAGCUGCUCUAAAGGGAUUCGAUGAGAACCCAAGCUUCUCGGAAGCACCACCAGGAUGCUCUUGGCUGCAUUGUCAUGGGACAGUUUGUUCAGCAGGAGCCUGAGGGGUGGGGUGCAGGACAGCGAAACUGCUGUUUUGCACUCCAGAAGCAGCCAUUCUCCCUUCCCUGGCCCUUCUGGCAAACUGUCCUGAUAAGUGGUUUGUAGCAAGUUCAUGCAACUGGUAGAUACGCUGUCAGUAUUCACUUCUGCUUUUCUGCACAAAGUCAGCUAAUAGUGUUGAUAGCUGGGUGGGGAGGAGUUCUUCAUGCCAGGUAAUGUCUGUGAUUGACAAAUAGAGACUACAGGCAGGUCAGGAUGACACACGAGAUGAAUUCUCUUGGAAACAAUCCUUUUGGAUAAGAAGGAAAAUUCAGACUAGCCUAGGUGCUAUGGUUAUGCUGGAUAAUCAUACGCUAAGAGAGGGUGGUAUUGAAAUAAGCUAUUAUUGAGGGCACAGAUGCCCCUCCAUUGGUCAAAAGACGUUCCAUGCAGCUUUCCAGCAAAGCUCUGGUUAAAUCAGGGCCUCCUAGAAAUAGCUGUGGCUUGAACGUGACUAAUGUAUAACUAACUCAUCACAACUCAUACCUUCCUGGUGGUGGAGUCUGGGUGUUUGCCUGUUCUGCUUGGUUUUUAGCAAAGCUGGCGUCGUGGCUUAUUUGUCCACUUUUUUUUUUUUUUUUUAAGUGAGAGAAAGGGAGGGGAAAAAAGAAAGCUUUUUUAAUUUCAAUGAGUUUCUUGGCUAAGAGUAAACACCUCAUUAAUUUUAAAGAUAUCAGCCCACAAACAUUAUUAAUGCAGCCCGAAUAAUGGCGAGCAUUAAAGGGAAAUGUGAGGGAGGAGCACGUGCGAGGUGGAACACAGUCACCUACCAAGCGCUCCGGAGAACGCUGCACACACCAUUACCUACACUGCACGAAGGAGACAAACAAAGGCAAGAGGCAGGGCCGAUAAACAGGAGUGCGCACGCACACACGCACACACACAUACACUCACACUCUUUCCAUAAAGCAGCCAUUAUUUGUAGUUACACGUCACCCUUUACCCUGAAUAUUAAUUUGUCUUCCCAGUCGUGGCGAAAGGCUUUCUAUGUAGUAUGUCCGUUUUUAAAUAUGAUGGACAGAGGCGUAAAACAGUGCUUACAGAAGGAGAAGCUUCCCUGUGUCUCGGGAACAGUGAUCCCAUCCCUUUGCUCUGUUCACCGCCAUGCUUCCUCUGCAUUUACAGUGUUUACAUUGAGGUAUGCCAGAGGUGGGCAUCGACAGCACUGUAUGCUUUUGGAGCUGUUUCCUGCGUCUCUUUGCCCUGGGGGCUGCUUUCCACCCUCGCCCUCUGGAACAGAGUAGGGAGAGAACCCUGAGUAGUCAUAGAUCAUGUUUCAUAGGCAGGGAGCCAUGCCCAGAAGCAGUUAUACAACUUUGGAAAGACUUAAAGUAGAUUCAGUGGCUAUCCUAGGUCUCUUGUCUCCCUUGGCCUCUCUCAGCCCCCAUACCUCCGCACACCUGCUAUGUGCCCUGAUGGGUUCAUGAUCUCUUACUCCAUACCAGUCAUCCUGCUCUGAAGUUAACAACUGAGGCAUCCUGGUGACCUUCGGAAGCCUUUGGGCAAUGACGUGAAAUUGAGAGCCCGGUUCUUUGCCAGCACUGGUCUGCCAGGGUCCUGACAGCAAAGGGCCAUCUCCCUCCUGAUCUAAUCACCUGCAUUGUCCCUGUCCAGGCUGCCCAGUGCAGGGGUGGAGACAAGUGGAGCAGACAGGAGGAAAGAUGAUCUAAAUAUCUUGUCCCUCUGGGCCUGAUGUACAUUGCUGCCAUUACUACUAAAUCAAGUGCUCAGGAUUCCUGGUUAGCUCGAGCUAAUGUGCAGUCAUAUCUGCUGGCUCUAGAACACGUAUUGUUUAUCAGAGGGCACUGCUAACACAUUGGAGUCAGGCUACAUUCCACAGCGGGCUCAGAGCAUGGGCACCUUUUGCCUACAAGGAGGUCUGUGUGCAGCCUGGCACCUGCUCCAACAGCCAUAGGAGGAAAGAUUCCCUCCAAUACAUUAUCGGACAUGCUGCUUCCAGAAACAGAAGGGUGAGCAUUCCAUGUCUACGUGGCAGCUUUUUGUUUUUUUGUUGUUUAAAAAAAAAAAAAAAAAAAACGAGGGUAGAAGUGGGAGGAGGUAGGAAUAAAAUGUGAGAAUUCAUUUUGGAUGGAAAAGGGUGGACAGCUGUUGGAAGAACUAAAGUGAGCCCAACACGCACAUAUACUCACAAUGAGUGAGAUGUUCAUGCAGGCAGGGCUGGGAGCCUUCCCGGGCACCCCUGGAAAAAUGCAGAGGGGCAAUUGAGAAAGCAAGGUGCCCCAUCUUUUCCUCUUUUUCUGGCAUAGUUUUCUUUUAUAGAUUAGGUUAGAGUAGUUUUGUUGAGAUAUCCAUUGAAUGCAGCUCAUGAACUUGAGAGAGGUUCCUUCUGAACUCCACCAGAUCGGGAGGGGAGUGAGAGAAUGAGAAUUUAGAGCCCUAGAAAUCAUUCCAGGGUCACUCAAGCACCCUGACAUCAUGGACUUUGUGCUAACCCAGCCUGACCCAUGGUCCAGAUCCAACUCUGAGUCCGGAAGCUCUCGCUCCUGUGCAGGGAUCUUACUUAAAUGGCAGCAACUUUCCCAUUCUUUCUGAAUUGGGAAUGGUGGGAGGGGCUUGGGAGAGGAGGAAAAUGGGCUUCUGUAUGAAGCGUGAGUCUGGGCGUCAAAAAUUCCAGCUAUGUCAUAAAGACGGUCAUGCAAAAUUGAGUACUGGUGGGGUCUACCAUCAAGGAGGCAAUUAGAGGCUAACCUUGGGGCCUAUUCCAUCUCCAAGGAGCUCUCCACACACACAUUCUGAAUUAGAUUGAUCUCUUUCAUUAACAUCAAUAGGCUCCAAAUACCUUUGUGUACUUAUUAUUACCUGGCUUUAAUGGAUAAUGAAAUUGUGGCAUAAUAUUGCUAACACCUGAAGGGUGUCUAAUGGAGAACACGGACUGAAACUAAAGUGCUUUUUCUUCCCUUUCUGUGGAAUUUAAAGGCACCAGCUCCUUUAGUCCAUUAGAAAUGAUGGGCUCUAGGUAGGGGCAGUUCCACGGAGAGUGGUCUCACUGAGCUGGUGACAUCCCUUCCCCCCCUAGCAUCAGCCAUCAGCUGGAGUCCCUUACUGUCUCUGGAAUGACCCGCCGAGAGGUAGCCCUCAGGGGAUGGAUCUCAAUAGGAGAAGCCCUAUCUGUGAUAACUCCAUGCUCCCACCUUCUUGGAACUAAAAGUAACAUUACUAAUAAGACUCCAGUACAACGCAACGAACAUCUCUUGAGCCCUUAUCAUGUGCCAGGCUCAGUGGCCCCACUGAGGACACAAGCAUGGGUAAAGAGGGGCUUCUGCUAUCCAUCAUGGGCCUGGGAUGUUGCCCAGGGAGACAUUGUGACAAUGACCACAAAACCCAGCAUUUACUUGACCCUGGGCACCAUUUUAAGUUGCACAUGUAAUCCUCACAUCUCUAUGAGUUGGGUACUCUGAGUAUCUGCAUUUUUACAAAUGGAUGGAUCGGGGUACAGAGAAGUUAACUUGCCCAAGUUUAAGUAACUUGCCCAAGGUUACAGGGUAACUGUGGAGCCUGACUUUGAGCCCCCAGUCAGUCUGACUCCAGAGACUAUGUGCUAAUCCUCUUUGAUGUUGACAUGCAACUCGGCUUGACAUGGUCUAUUCUAGUCCAUUCUUUGGCGUUCAUCCAACUGUGUGUUACUGGGCAAGUAACCUGUGCUCGUUUCCUAGGGCUUCCAUAACAAAGUACCACAAACUGGGUGGCUUAAAACAACAGAAAUUCAUUCUUUCAGCUCUGGAGGCUGGAAAUCAGGGUGUGAGCAUGAUUACUUCCUUCUGGGAGCUCCAGAAACCAUCUGUUCCGUGCCUCUCUCUUAGCUUUUGGUGGCUGACAGCAACCCUGGGCUUGUAGGUAUAUCAGUCCAGGAUCUGCCUCCACCCUCAUGUGGCAUUCUCCUUUGUGCGUCUCUCUUCUUCUCAUAAGGACCCCAGUUGUGUUGGCCCACCCCACUGCAGUCAGCCCUCAUCUUAACCAAUUAUAUGUGCGGUGAUCCCAUUUCCAAAUAAGGUCACAUUCUUACCUUCCAAGAAGGACAUUAUUCAACCUGGACAGUCCACUACCCUCUCUGGCUCCCCCAAAUUCAUGUCCAUCACCUAUGCAAAAUAUCCACCCUCUCCCAACAUCCCUAAAUGUCUUACCCCAUUUCAGCAUCAACUCUGAGACCAAAAUAACAUCUAAAUAUAAACUCAGAAAGUCCCAAAUCACAUCGUCUAAAUCAGGUACAGACUCUGGAUAUGGUCCAUUCUGGGGCAAAUUCCCUUUCCAUCUUCAGAGUCUGGUUGCUGAUCCCCUGGGAUGGGCAGAAACCUGUCCUAUUAACUCUUCUAAUUCCAGUAUUUAAAAAAAGUGUCUGACGCUGCGUUUAUGGUCAGUUAAUGUUCCUUCAACAAGAGAGUAAAGAGAUUUGAAGAUCAAAUGAGAUCAUGAAAACAAACCAUUUCUGAAAACUGUGAUAAAAUUAGAAUUUCUUUAGGCUGCACUGGGCUUGCAGAGAAAAUUAGUCCAUAAGUACAUUGCUCCUAAAUCAACCUGAAGAAAAAGGAAGUCCCCUUGUUCUUGAAGAAAACCAAAGAGGGGGCCUAUGUAGCUUUAUAGUGUUAUAAGCCAAACAUAGGUGGCAGGAUUUCUGCUUUAUGUUACAGGACAGCUAAUUGUCUGCCUUGUAGCCGCCAUGUUUCCCUUGCACUUCCGGCUGCUGGCACUAUCCAGUGACAGAUAUUCUCCUGACAGGACUGGGUACAUUCUUGGUGGGGUCCGGUGCAAAGGGAAAAUGUGGGACCCCCUGUUCAUAAAUUACGAGUUUCAAAAUGGCACCAGCAGAGCCUGAAACCAAACAAGCCCUUGUAAGUGCCAGGACCCGGGAAGUUUCCCAAGCCUCAUGCCCAUGAAGCCCGCCUACCUCGCAGCCUCUUGGCCCCUGCCACACCUCUCCCCUGGCACUGUGGGGGACACAUGGUCUGACAAAACUGAGGAGCCGUCUUUGGUUCUGACCCAGAUUUAUGUUCACUCUCUGCACCAGCCUCUGGGUGGAGAGGAACCAUCUCAGCAUGUGUUAUUUACACAGGGGCUUUAUUUAAAGAGACAACAGCCAAUCUCAAAUGUACCCAACAUGUUCAGCAAGCAAAAGUGAAGUGCAUUUU
Molecule: long non-coding RNA, 6100 nt
Organism: Herpailurus yagouaroundi (jaguarundi)
Lineage: Eukaryota; Metazoa; Chordata; Mammalia; Carnivora; Felidae
Exons: 2
Source: RefSeq, a predicted model, not a curated record